Molecule: ribosomal RNA, 429 nt
Filed under: uncultured bacterium
Lineage: Bacteria
Description: bacterial SSU rRNA
Rfam family: Bacterial small subunit ribosomal RNA
Source: RNAcentral
UGGGGAAUCUUGCGCAAUGGACGAAAGUCUGACGCAGCCACGCCGCGUGAGUGAAGAAGGCCUUCGGGUUGUAAAGCUCUGUCGCCCGGGACGAAAAUCCGGUGAGUGAAUAGCUCAUCGGACUGACGGUACCGGGAAAGGAAGCACCGGCUAACUCCGUGCCAGCAGCCGCGGUAAUACGGAGGGUGCAAGCGUUGCUCGGAAUUAUUGGGCGUAAAGGGUAGGUAGGUGGUCUUAUUUGUCUGGGGUGAAAGCCUUGAGCUUAACUCAAGAAGUGCCCCAGAAACGGUGAGACUAGAGUCCUGGAGAGGGUCGUGGAAUUCCCGGUGUAGCGGUGAAAUGCGUAGAGAUCGGGAGGAACACCAGAGGCGAAGGCGGCGACCUGGACAGGUACUGACACUCAACUACGAAAGCAUGGGGAGCAAACAG